GAAUUAAAUAGCGAUAUUAAAAAGGGGUACAAAAAAAAGCAUAUCCUUCAAUUACCCUAAAAUUUUUACAUCGUAAUUUCGCUAGUUUUUCACAUCAAAAUCCGUAAAGAAAAGGGGUGUCCAAAGUAGGGCAAAAAAUUGUACCCAUUUUAAAGUAGGGGUCUCAAUUUUUUAUAAGGUUUUUCCUUGCAUGGCCGGUAGAAUUAGAAAUUGGAAAAGAUUCUGUUUUAAAGUAAAUAUUCAUUCAACUAUCAAGAAUAGCUGAAUCCUUAUAUAUGUAACCCCUAUAAAAAUAUCAAUAUGUGUCAAUAAAUUGUAAAAUUAUA
This 326-nucleotide long non-coding RNA is filed under the name Mytilus galloprovincialis (Mediterranean mussel). Lineage: Eukaryota; Metazoa; Mollusca; Bivalvia; Mytilida; Mytilidae. The record is from RNAcentral.